RNAcentral lists this ribosomal RNA (492 nucleotides) under uncultured bacterium. Its description in RNAcentral is "partial 16S ribosomal RNA". It matches the Rfam family "Bacterial small subunit ribosomal RNA", at positions 29 to 507 of the family's 1533-position model. The record is from RNAcentral.
AGUGAACGCUGGCGGUAGGCCUAACACAUGCAAGUCGAACGGCAGCACAGUAAGAGCUUGCUCUUACGGGUGGCGAGUGGCGGACGGGUGAGGAAUACAUCGGAAUCUACUUUUUCGUGGGGGAUAACGUAGGGAAACUUACGCUAAUACCGCAUACGACCUACGGGUGAAAGCAGGGGAUCUUCGGACCUUGCGCGAUUGAAUGAGCCGAUGUCGGAUUAGCUAGUUGGCGGGGUAAAGGCCCACCAAGGCGACGAUCCGUAGCUGGCCUGAGAGGAGGAUCAGCCACACUGGAACUGAGACACGGUCCAGACUCCUAAGGGAGGCAGCAGUGGGGAAUAUUGGACAAUGGGCGCAAGCCUGAUCCAGCCAUACCGCGUGGGUGAAGAAGGCCUUGGGGUUGUAAAGCCCUUUUGUUGGGAAAGAAAAGCAGCAGGUUAAUACCCCGCUGUUCUGACGGUACCCAAAGAAUAAGCACCGGCUAACUUCGUG